Molecule: ribosomal RNA, 481 nt
Filed under: uncultured bacterium
Lineage: Bacteria
Description: partial 16S ribosomal RNA
Rfam family: Bacterial small subunit ribosomal RNA
Source: RNAcentral
GAUGAACGCUGGCGGCGUGCUUAACACAUGCAAGUCGAACGAAGCACUUUAUUUGAUUUCCUUCGGGACUGAUUAUUUUGUGACUGAGUGGCGGACGGGUGAGUAACGCGUGGGUAACCUGCCUUGUACAGGGGGAUAACAGUUGGAAACGGCUGCUAAUACCGCAUAAGCGCCCGGCAUCGCAUGAUGCAGGGUGAAAAACUCCGGGGGUAUAAGAUGGACCCGCGUUGGAUUAGCAAGUUGGUGAGGUAACGGCCCACCAAGGCGACGAUCCAUAGCCGACCUGAGAGGGUGACCGGCCACAUUGGGACUGAGACACGGCCCAAACUCCUACGGGAGGCAGCAGUGGGGAAUAUUGCACAAUGGGCGAAAGCCUGAUGCAGCGACGCCGCGUGAGCGAAGAAGUAUUUCGGUAUGUAAAGCUCUAUCAGCAGGGAAGAUAAUGACGGUACCUGACUAAGAAGCACCGGCUAAAUACGUG